RNAcentral lists this non-coding RNA (24 nucleotides) under Arabidopsis thaliana (thale cress). Lineage: Eukaryota; Viridiplantae; Streptophyta; Magnoliopsida; Brassicales; Brassicaceae. The record is from RNAcentral.
CAUCCCAACGUGACUUUAUAUAGG